Leucoraja erinaceus (little skate) is the source of this 3668-nucleotide long non-coding RNA. RefSeq lists it as uncharacterized. The transcript has 2 exons. The record is from RefSeq and is a predicted model, not a curated record. Lineage: Eukaryota; Metazoa; Chordata; Chondrichthyes; Rajiformes; Rajidae.
UCGCGGGGCGGAGCUUGGUCGCGGGGUGGAGCCCGGUCGCGGGGCGGAGCUUGGUCGCGGGGCGGAGCUUGGUCGCGUGGCGGAGCCCGGUCGCGGGGUGGAGUCCGGUCGACGUGAGGUUUAGUUGAAGUGCGGUUUAAUCGAAGCAAGGUUUAGUGAGGUGUGAGGUUUAGUUGAGGUGAAGCUUAGUCUAGGUAUGUUACAAAACCUACCUGAAUCGCCAUUGGGAAUCUGCCCUCAGCCAUGUCGGCGAUUAUGGCGCUGUUUGGAGGGGGCGGGUUUAAAACGCGAUUUUUACUAGGCUGCACUAAUCGCACAUGUUCAGCCUAGUAAAUCAUUAACAAAAAAUCGCUGCAAGACCCGGUCGCAAAAGGUAUUAUUAGUUUUAUAGGCCUCGAUAAUAUAGUUAUAAUAGUCUUAAAAUUACUGUUUUAUUCCGCGACCUCUCGCAGCCCCAGGGUUUUAUAGAGCAAACAAUUAAAGGUAUGUACCUUAUUUUUACAUUAAAUGGAGCAUAUAUAUAACCCUGUAAUUAAAGUUAUCUAUAGCGAAUAGUUUAUUUUGGGCUUUUUAUAUCCCGCAGUAUUUUUCUCGGCAUUUGAGGGCACUAAUCUAGCGCGCUGUCAACAUUCUAAACCAGCGCGUUCACAGAAACCCACUGGAAAGCCGAUUUAAAUGGGCAUUUAUUUACAGCAAUUGAACACUAAAUUCCUUCCAUUUGGCCUAUAAAUUAAUGUAAAUUAGAUAUAAAAAUCAUGUUAUAUUGUGAAUUAUUUGUGAAUAAUCUUUGGACACUUAGGCUAUUUAAAAAUGUUAAUCUUUCCUUAAGAAAUGGCCUGUUGACUAUCCAAGAUCACAGCUUUUUUGUAAUGUCCAUUGAAAAUCAAUAGGGAACAAGAUGCUAAUUUCUGAGUAUGAAAAUGGCCAUAACUUUUUUAAUACUUGAGAUAUGAAAGUGAAUUUGGUGUCAAAUUAAACUUAUUGUUAUGCUUUAUCUGAUGGGAUAAAUUGCAGACUUGAUUUUUAAAAUCUCAAAAUUUUGUAACAUUGCUACUUAGUCGAGGCGAGGUUUUGUAGUGAGGUGUGAGGUAUCGUCGAGGUGAGGGGUUUUAGAGGUGUAGGUGAGGAGAAGUGAGCGUAGGUGAGGUGAGGAGAAGUGGGUGUCUGAGCUCAGGAAGGGAGAUCGAGGAGCUGCUGAAGGAGAUGAGACCAUGUCUGGGACGCAGGGCCCAGAGGUGAGACUCCAGGGAGCUUUGUCAUGGAGAGCGAGUGGGCAAAAGAUGCCGGAUAAAUGUACUGUCAGGGGCCUGGGAACGGGGAAGAUGCUGCUGCUCCUUCUCAGACCAUCACAACCCCAGGAAUUGGUGUCAGUGAGGAGUGGAUGAGUUCCCUGGGCUCUGGAGUGGAUCACUGACAUUAAUAUUGAUCUGUGACUGAGACCAUUCAGACCAUCUCCCUCAUCCUUAUUUUAAUUUAAUAGUGGCACUGAGUGAUAACUUUGGCACUGGCUCUGGCCACUUAAAUCAGCUGCCCUCGACAUUUUAUGACUGUUUUUACUUGUAUUUUAAUAGCUACUACCCUACAGCCAUCAGGCUAUUAAACCUGGCUCGGACAAAACUCUGAUUAUUAAUAACCACUUUCUGUUAUUUGCACUUUACCAGUUUAUUUAUUCAUGUGUGUAUAUAUUUAUAUCAUGGUAUAUGGACACAUUUAUCUGUUUUGUAGUCAAUGCCUAAUAUUUUCUGUGUGCUUAAGCAAAGCAAGAAUUUCAUUGUCCUAUACAGGGACACAUGACAAUAAACUCACUUGAACUUGCUGUUUUUACCUGCACUUUUUAAAACUAUUCAUAUAACCAUAUAACCAUAUAACAAUUUACAGCACGGAAACAGGCCAUCUCGGCCCUACAAGUCCAUGCCGAACAAAUUUUGUUCCCCUUAGUCCCACCUGCCUGCACUCGUACCAUAACCCUCCAUUCCCUUCUCAUCCAUAUGCCUAUCCAAUUUAUUUUUAAAUGAUACCAAUGAACCUGCCUCCACCACUUCCACUGGGAGCUCAUUCCACACCGCCACCACUCUCUGCGUAAAGAAGUUCCCCCUCAUAUUCGUACUGUUUUAUCAGGAACUGGAUUGUUUUUUAUCGUUUUUAUUUUAUGCAUGAAAUGUUAAAGUUUUUUUAUGUGCGAUGCUCCGGUAUCCCUGGGAAACGUCUUCUCAUUUUGCACUGUACAACUUGCUUUGCAAGAUGACAAUAAAGGAUGAUAAUGAUAAUCCUUCUAGUUGUCUGUCUCCAUCUGGCAACUUUCCCCAGCUGUGAGGAAAGAAUAUUAACCUGAAACAUUAACUCCGUUUCUCCCUCCACAGAUGCUGCCUGGUUUGCUGAAUAUCUCUGACAAUUUAUUCUUGUUUACAACCGUGGUUUUGCAGCUGCCACUGGGCGCUGCUCCUGACUUCAGUGUGGGGGAAGCCCAUGAUAGUCACUGUCUUCAUUGCCACAAAUGUAGCCAUUGAUGUCUGUUGGCUGCAAGCUGCAAUCUUGAUGGGCAACAUUUUGGGUCUGGACCUUUCAGGAUGAUGACCAUUUCAACGACAUUACUGGCUAUUUUUCCAAGGAAGCGUUUGAAGAACUAAUGGACUGGGAGAAGGUCCGCUAUAAGAACAUAAAACGGAAUUAUGAAGCCAUGGUUGCCAUUGGUUUGUACAAAAUAUUAUAUUAUUUUUCCCUUUUUGCCCUUCUCUAAUGAUGCAUGCUGACAUGAGUAUUUUUCCCCACAUGAAACUAAAUAGAUAUGUGCUUUCUGAGCCAGGUACUUGGUAAGAUACUUCCAUUUCAUCUACUAUGGAUCGGUAUUCAACACUAUCAUCCCCUCCAAAUGACCAGUAAGGUCCAAUACCUGGUUAUCUACCUUCCUUUGCAACUGGAUACUAGAGAGAGAGAGGGAAACUCUGGUUGAGUGAUGCUGCAACAAUAACCUCUAGCUGAAGUCUUAACAAACUUGUACAGAUGUACUGCAGAAAGUAUCCUGACUGGUUGCAUCUUGGCUUGCUAAGGCAAUCCAAUGCACAGGAAUGCAAGCGACUGUAUGGUGUGCUGAACUCAGCCCAGUCCAUCACAGGCACACUUCUCCCCACCAUCAAUAAUAUCCAUAUGAGAACCCACCUCAAGAAGGCAGCAUCACUCAUCAAGGUUCCCAUUCAUCCAGGCCGUUCUCUCAUCUCACUGCUACAAUCAGGUAGGAGGUACUGAAGCCUGAAGUCCCACACCAACAGUUUCAGGAUCAGCUACUUUCCUACAACUAUAUUCUUGAAUCCAUUUGUGCAAUCCUAAUGCAACCGUAAUUCCUCUUGCAGUACCAUGGACAUUUCGUAACAACAUGAUUUGACUGAUGUCUUGUAGAUUUACACAGUCCUCUCGUAACAGUCUUACAGAAUUACUGUAUAAUUAAUGUUUUAUGUUUAUCCGUCUUGUAUCUAUAUCGUUAAUACAUACAACACUAAACUUGACAUAAUUUGGAAAAAUUGGGAUCGGGAUCAAACAAGCCUGUGUCAUCACUUGUGCAUGCCUGAGACCGAGUUAUUCCAGCACUUUGUGUUUUAUCCUUGAACUUCCUCUCUUAACUUGUCACUGCUCCCUCAAGUACAGCACUGUCCUGCAAAACAUUUCCAUAAUGA